This 731-nucleotide ribosomal RNA is filed under the name Bacillus sp. (in: firmicutes). Its description in RNAcentral is "bacterial SSU rRNA". It matches the Rfam family "Bacterial small subunit ribosomal RNA", at positions 17 to 731 of the family's 1533-position model. The record is from RNAcentral. Lineage: Bacteria; Bacillati; Bacillota; Bacilli; Caryophanales; Bacillaceae.
UCAUGGCUCAGGACGAACGCUGGCGGCGUGCCUAAUACAUGCAAGUCGAGCGGACAGAAGGGAGCUUGCUCCCGGAUGUUAGCGGCGGACGGGUGAGUAACACGUGGGUAACCUGCCUGUAAGACUGGGAUAACUCCGGGAAACCGGAGCUAAUACCGGAUAGUUCCUUGAACCGCAUGGUUCAAGGAUGAAAGACGGUUUCGGCUGUCACUUACAGAUGGACCCGCGGCGCAUUAGCUAGUUGGUGGGGUAAUGGCUCACCAAGGCGACGAUGCGUAGCCGACCUGAGAGGGUGAUCGGCCACACUGGGACUGAGACACGGCCCAGACUCCUACGGGAGGCAGCAGUAGGGAAUCUUCCGCAAUGGACGAAAGUCUGACGGAGCAACGCCGCGUGAGUGAUGAAGGUUUUCGGAUCGUAAAGCUCUGUUGUUAGGGAAGAACAAGUGCGAGAGUAACUGCUCGCACCUUGACGGUACCUAACCAGAAAGCCACGGCUAACUACGUGCCAGCAGCCGCGGUAAUACGUAGGUGGCAAGCGUUGUCCGGAAUUAUUGGGCGUAAAGGGCUCGCAGGCGGUUUCUUAAGUCUGAUGUGAAAGCCCCCGGCUCAACCGGGGAGGGUCAUUGGAAACUGGGAAACUUGAGUGCAGAAGAGGAGAGUGGAAUUCCACGUGUAGCGGUGAAAUGCGUAGAGAUGUGGAGGAACACCAGUGGCGAAGGCGACUCUCUG